Molecule: ribosomal RNA, 1009 nt
Filed under: uncultured archaeon
Lineage: Archaea
Description: bacterial SSU rRNA
Rfam family: Archaeal small subunit ribosomal RNA
Source: RNAcentral
UCUGAGACAAGAUUUCCGGGCCCUUUCGGGGCGCAGCAGGCGCGAAACCUUUACACUUGUACGCAAAGUGCGAUAAGGGGACUCCGAGUGUGAAGGGCAUAGAGCCUUCACUUUUGUACACCGUAAGGUGGUGUACGAAUAAGGGCUGGGCAAGACCGGUGCCAGCCGCCGCGGUAAUACCGGCAGCCCGAGUGAUGGCCGAUAUUAUUGGGCCUAAAGCGUCCGUAGCUGGCCGGACAAGUCCGUUGGGAAAUCUGUUCGCUUAACGAGCAGGCGUCCAGCGGAAACUGUUCGGCUUGGGACCGGAAGACCUGAGGGGUACGUCCGGGGUAGGAGUGAAAUCCUGUAAUCCUGGACGGACCACCGGUGGCGAAAGCGCCUCAGGAGGACGGAUCCGACAGUGAGGGACGAAAGCUAGGGUCUCGAACCGGAUUAGAUACCCGGGUAGUCCUAGCUGUAAACGAUGCCCGCUAGGUGUGGCGCAGGCUACGAGCCUGCGCUGUGCCGUAGGGAAGCCGAGAAGCGGGCCGCCUGGGAAGUACGUCUGCAAGGAUGAAACUUAAAGGAAUUGGCGGGGGAGCACUACAACCGGAGGAGCCUGCGGUUUAAUUGGACUCAACGCCGGACAUCUCACCAGCUCCGACAGUAGUAAUGACGGUCAGGUUGAUGACCUUACCCGAUGCUACUGAGAGGAGGUGCAUGGCCGCCGUCAGCUCGUACCGUGAGGCGUCCUGUUAAGUCAGGCAACGAGCGAGACCCGCACUCCUAAUUGCCAGCAGUACCCUUUGGGUAGCUGGGUACAUUAGGUGGACUGCCGCUGCUAAAGCGGAGGAAGGAACGGGCAACGGUAGGUCAGUAUGCCCCGAAUGAGCUGGGCAACACGCGGGCUACAAUGGUCGAGACAAUGGGAUGCAACUCCGAGAGGAGGCGCUAAUCUCCUAAACUCGAUCGUAGUUCGGAUUGAGGGCUGAAACUCGCCCUCAUGAAGCUGGAUUCGGUAGUAAUCGCG